GUGUUAACUGUGUUUUUUAAUCAUGUUUUUGUGUUUGUCAUUGAUUAACAAGUAGAAUAGGUCAUAUUGAUGUGUACAAUGUUUUUUUUAUUUUUUAUUUUAUUUUGAGCGCUUCGUAUACAUGAAGCUCUCGCUUCGCGCUUGAAGCUCGCUUAAAGCUUUUGGAACCAAAACGCUUCGGAGCGCUUCGCGCUUUUUUAAACAAAGAUCUGUGCUACACAGGUACCUUUUGUUAUAAAUACAUUAUUCAUAUUUUGUAAUUUAACUGUUUGUUUGCCAGUAUCUUUUACUCUUUUAGUUAACAUGGAGUACCUAUUAUGCACUUAUGCUUUUAGGAUCAGUGAUUUUUCAUAUUAUCAUCUAUUUUUUUUGGUUAUCCUGGUAUUAUCUAAACCAUACUUGUUAAUAGCGAAUAGCGAACAGUAGCGACAAGCUACCUAUACGCUACGUAGCAAUAACGAAGAAAUAGCGGGCACUAGUUAUGUUUAGCAUACACUAGAAGAUAACUUUAUAAAUAUUUUAUAUGUGUAUUUUAUCAGUUUCUUUACCAAAAUACGCUGUUUUCAUAUUUAAAAAAAAAAACGAAAAAAUUCUUCUAUUUUAUAGGCAUAUAUUAUCACUAUUUAUAUCAACACAAAAAACUAUAAUCCCGCUAUUUCCACUCUAUGGAGGCGCCAAAAUUAGAUUGUGGCCUGUAAUCUCAUUGCCACGCUAAACGCUAUAGCGAGCGCUAUGCUCGGAAUUAACAACACUGAUCUAAACAUUUCGGAAAUAUCUUUUUCCAGAUGUUGUAGUUGAUUAUGAUCAUGUCAGACCAUCUGAUAUUUUCAAAUGAUAUCUUAAAAGGCAAACAAUGUAGAUCAUUUUUGUCUCUAAUUGGCUUUGUUUUCAUAGGUAUGAGAAUUUGAUCAAGAUCAUUAAAGAUGACAUACAUAGACUGCUUAUAAAUUUAUCUAUACUGAUUUGGUUGCUUUUGUUAUGUAAUUGUUGGUUUUAAACAUGUAACAAGUUUAAGCCAUAUGAGUUGAUAGCUCUUGUAAUGUCCAAUGGAAUAUCAAUACGGAAAAUGUCAUCAAUGCGUCAUAUCCUGGCCAUAGUUGUUAAUGGCAAAUAGCGACAAAUAGUGAUAAGGUACCUAUAUGCUACAUAGUAAUAAAUAGCGGACUGCUAUUUUAUAAAGAGCGAUACAUUAGAAAAAUAAAUUUAAAAAUUUUAUAUGUAUAUUAUAUCUAAAUACCCUGGUAUGUAUGCUAUUUUACAUGUAUAUUUAACAAAAACCUAAAAUCCAUCUAUUUUAUAGGCUAUUAUGGUUGUAGCGGUAGAUAGCGAUAAUAGUGACACUUUUUUUUAAUUAUAAAUAGCAAUUAAAUAUAGCUAUAAUUUAUAGCUAUAUUUAAUUGCUAUUUAUAAUUAAAAAAAGUGUCACUAUUAUCGCUAUCUACCGCUACAACCAUAAUAGCAAGUCUAGACCUAUACGCUACGUAGCGCGAUAUAGCGAUCGCUACGCUCGCUAUUGACAACUAUGAUCCUGACCCUAAUGGAAGGUUCAGUUGAGAAAGUUGUUAUGUUUUCUUGAGAAAGUUAUUCAAGCUGUCUAAUACACCGAGUUAUAAACAAGUUUUGUAUAGGCAUUUAUUGCCUAAUGGAGAUAGAUAUGAUCAGGUGGUUUGGUUGAUGGCACGAUGAUACUCCAGUAGUCCAGUGGUCCGUCUGUUAUCCGAAUUUGUCAUUCAAACCAAAUAAGACCAAAGGGUGUGGGGGGAGUCCCAGGGUCGCCGAGGCACGUCUAGGGUUGUCCACACCGCCCCCGUCCCCAUCGUCCCCCAAUUGCCGCUUGCGACGGGCCCGCCUCUUUCUUAUCCAACACUACCACACCCUGGCCCAUCCAUUGGGGCUAAUCCCCCACACCCGAUGACAUGGCUACCUACGUGAACACUUAAGUUUCUAGGGUUUCCAGUGCCAUCAGAAUGAGCGAUACUCCAUUUGAGCAAACCGUCCCAGUUAGGUCCCUCUUUCGCCAUGAAGGAAAACGCAAACCCUAAUUAUUACUAUUAUUAUGCUGGGUUUUGUAUGGUGAGAUGAGAUAUAAUUGAUCG
RNAcentral lists this long non-coding RNA (2096 nucleotides) under Helianthus annuus (common sunflower). Its description in RNAcentral is "hypothetical non coding rna". Lineage: Eukaryota; Viridiplantae; Streptophyta; Magnoliopsida; Asterales; Asteraceae. The record is from RNAcentral.